RNAcentral lists this long non-coding RNA (291 nucleotides) under Gossypium barbadense (sea-island cotton). RNAcentral describes it as "long non-coding RNA (GBAR_LNC005099)". The record is from RNAcentral. Lineage: Eukaryota; Viridiplantae; Streptophyta; Magnoliopsida; Malvales; Malvaceae.
CUCACUUGUUUUAACAGAAUUUUUCAGUUUGAUUUGGUCCUCAUGGACUUGUUCUAGAGUGAGCGGCACUAAGGUGAGUUUCUUUCCUUGAUGCUUGAAAGAAUACCUAUUGGUACGACCAUCGUGAGUGACUUUUCGAUCUAGUUGCCACGGUUCUCCUAGCAACAAAUGGCAGGCUUGAAUAGGCAUUACGUCGCACACAACUUCGUCUUGAUACUUACCGAUAGAAAAGGCGAUGCGCACUUGUUGAGUGACCCUAAAUUGGCCUUCGUUGCUAAGCCCUUGUAGUUG